This is an RNA transcript of Selaginella moellendorffii, 1823 nucleotides long. RefSeq lists it as uncharacterized. The record is from RefSeq and is a predicted model, not a curated record. Lineage: Eukaryota; Viridiplantae; Streptophyta; Lycopodiopsida; Selaginellales; Selaginellaceae. The transcript is spliced from 5 exons.
AGUUUUAGGGCUGACGUCGGUAGAAAGCCCUAGUAGCGAUGGCGAUGACGGUGGGGCUUGUGGCGGCGGCUCUCAUCGCCGGGGGAGGAUCCGGAGCCAAGAUCUUCACGAAAUCCAGCGCCAGGCUAAGAUCCUUGCGGCUCGACCAGCAGCUAUGGUGGUGUCUGGCUGUGAUCUCGGUCGUUGCGAUUCUGGGCCAGGAGGUGGUGCGGACAUCCGCGUUUUCUCCAGUCCCUGGCAGUGGGGCGACCGAUUUCGAUGGCUUUGGAGACGAGCUGGAUGAGGAAUUUGAUGGAGAAGCGCCGAUUGUGGUUCCUCCACACGCCGUUAGACGUCCCGGCUUCGAGACCGACCGCGGGCCUCCGGCAGCUCAUCAUCCGUUCGAGAAGCCGGAAGUGGACCGUGAGGAAAGAAUCCAAGAGCCUGUUGCGAGCGUGGAAAAGCCUCGGAGGCAGCAGGAGCAGUGGGACGAGGAUGAGUUCGAGGGCUUGCCGAGUGAAGAUCCGGAGCCGGAAGAAGCUGCUCCUGCAAAGACUUCGCCAAGCCCGAGUAGCAAUCGCCGAGCUCCCAGCGGUCCUCAAAACUACUACAUGGAGGCCUUCUCAGUGGUGUUCUUGGUGGCUUACGCGGCGAAGUACUUUCUCGGAAGGAAGGAAAACGAGAAGAUUGCCUUGGCCUGGGCUGGUGAGUACGCAGGCAAAGGCAGCAUCUUCGAGAAGAACUUUAGCUUGUUGGGGAUCGGAGAGGCGGAGGAUGCGGCGCUACUCAUGAAGGAAGGGCAGAACGUUUUCAAGUUCUACGCUUCUGGGAGGAGGUACUGCCAGGGAAUGCUCGCGACGAUGGAGCUUAAGAACAGGCAAGACUUAAUCUCUUGCCUCUGGUACUACGUGAUGCCGGCGAAAGACGAGAUCACCAUCCAGGUCUUCAUGAACGACGAGAGCAUGGACAACGUUGUCGCGGCAGUGGCACGUCGAAAGAAUGCCAAGGCGAUGAGCAAAGACGUACGAGAUUUGCAGCAGUUUGCGACCAUCUUGACGCCGUCCUCGCGAGGUAAAUCCUUGUCUGAGGAUCUCGCAGUCAUUGCAGAGUCGCGGGAAGUCUCGAACGAUUUGCUCACCGACGCGGUUUUGGAUAUGGCCCUUGGAGAGAAGACGUUCAAAGAACACGGAGCCAACUUUGUUUCUCUUCACUUGUCGGAUGUGUAUCCCCUCGGUGUGCACAGGAAGCUCCUCCAGUUCAAGUUUUAUCUCCCGCCUGCAAACCGCAUGGGAGAGAUUUCUCGACUGAUCCAGAUGGUUCCUCAUUUCAUCGAUGCGGUUGGCCGCUACAAACUUAGUCCACAGGCUCGGGCGAAAGUCGACCCGGCAAGGCAAAAGUCGCAGCAGGAAGCGUUGAAGCAGGCCCAAAACGCUCGCCACGAAGCCAUGACUCGCAAGCGAGAGGAGAAACGAAGGGCCGCCGAGGAGCUCGAGUCGCGCUUGAGCCCCGAGGCCCUCCGCAGGAAGGAAGAGAAGGAGCGCGCGAAGCAGCUCAAGAAAUCCAUGCCAAAGAUGAGGAUGACCCGAGCUCACUGAUCUCGAUCAAACGCGAUUAAAGUUGAACCAACGAAGUUUCCUGGUGUGUCAAAAGAUUCAGUCGGAUUUGCGCACUGAGGUAUCAAAAGCCGCGCGACCUUUCUUUUUUUCUCUUUCUUUAUUUUCCGCCCGUGAUGCUUCAAAUGUGGAGUGCUCCAAAAAAUCAAAGGUCAAACCCAUGGUGCUGCUUGUUUGAUAAGAUUGGCGAUCGAUGAUGCGACGAUAACAACAAUCCAUCUUGAUUCUCAA